Molecule: ribosomal RNA, 484 nt
Filed under: uncultured bacterium
Lineage: Bacteria
Description: partial 16S ribosomal RNA
Rfam family: Bacterial small subunit ribosomal RNA
Source: RNAcentral
AUUGAACGCUGGCGGCAUGCUUUACACAUGCAAGUCGAACGGCAGCGCGGGCUUCGGCCUGGCGGCGAGUGGCGAACGGGUGAGUAAUACAUCGGAACGUGCCCAGUAGUGGGGGAUAGCGCGGCGAAAGCCGGAUUAAUACCGCAUACGACCUGAGGGUGAAAGCGGGGGAUCUUCGGACCUCGCGCUAUUGGAGCGGCCGAGGGCGGAUUAGCUAGUUGGUGGGGUAAAGGCCUACCAAGGCGACGAUCUGUAGCUGGUCUGAGAGGACGACCAGCCACACUGGGACUGAGACACGGCCCAGACUCCUACGGGAGGCAGCAGUGGGGAAUUUUGGACAAUGGGCGAAAGCCUGAUCCAGCCAUGCCGCGUGUGUGAUGAAGGCCUUCGGGUUGUAAAGCACUUUUGGCGGGAACGAAAAGGACUGUGCCAAUACCACGGUUCGAUGACGGUACCCGCAGAAUAAGCACCGGCUAACUACGUG